This 1675-nucleotide ribosomal RNA is filed under the name Klebsiella pneumoniae. RNAcentral describes it as "partial 23S ribosomal RNA". It matches the Rfam family "Bacterial large subunit ribosomal RNA", at positions 1271 to 2925 of the family's 2925-position model. The record is from RNAcentral. Lineage: Bacteria; Pseudomonadati; Pseudomonadota; Gammaproteobacteria; Enterobacterales; Enterobacteriaceae.
UGCUGGAGGUAUCAGAAGUGCGAAUGCUGACAUAAGUAACGAUAAAGCGGGUGAAAAGCCCGCUCGCCGGAAGACCAAGGGUUCCUGUCCAACGUUAAUCGGGGCAGGGUGAGUCGACCCCUAAGGCGAGGCCGAAAGGCGUAGUCGAUGGGAAACAGGUUAAUAUUCCUGUACUUGGUGUUACUGCGAAGGGGGGACGGAGAAGGCUAUGUUAGCCGGGCGACGGUUGUCCCGGUUUAAGCAUGUAGGCUGGUUAUCCAGGCAAAUCCGGAUAAUCAAGGCUGAGGUGUGAUGACGAGGCACUACGGUGCUGAAGUAACAAAUGCCCUGCUUCCAGGAAAAGCCUCUAAGCAUCAGGUAACAUCAAAUCGUACCCCAAACCGACACAGGUGGUCAGGUAGAGAAUACCAAGGCGCUUGAGAGAACUCGGGUGAAGGAACUAGGCAAAAUGGUGCCGUAACUUCGGGAGAAGGCACGCUGGUGUGUAGGUGAAGCCCCUGCGGGUGGAGCUGAGACCAGUCGAAGAUACCAGCUGGCUGCAACUGUUUAUUAAAAACACAGCACUGUGCAAACACGAAAGUGGACGUAUACGGUGUGACGCCUGCCCGGUGCCGGAAGGUUAAUUGAUGGGGUUAUCCGUAAGGAGAAGCUCUUGAUCGAAGCCCCGGUAAACGGCGGCCGUAACUAUAACGGUCCUAAGGUAGCGAAAUUCCUUGUCGGGUAAGUUCCGACCUGCACGAAUGGCGUAAUGAUGGCCAGGCUGUCUCCACCCGAGACUCAGUGAAAUUGAACUCGCUGUGAAGAUGCAGUGUACCCGCGGCAAGACGGAAAGACCCCGUGAACCUUUACUAUAGCUUGACACUGAACAUUGAGCCUUGAUGUGUAGGAUAGGUGGGAGGCUUUGAAGCGUGGACGCCAGUCUGCGUGGAGCCAACCUUGAAAUACCACCCUUUAAUGUUUGAUGUUCUAACGUUGGCCCCUGACCGGGGUUGCGGACAGUGUCUGGUGGGUAGUUUGACUGGGGCGGUCUCCUCCCAAAGCGUAACGGAGGAGCACGAAGGUUAGCUAAUCCUGGUCGGACAUCAGGAGGUUAGUGCAAUGGCAUAAGCUAGCUUGACUGCGAGCGUGACGGCGCGAGCAGGUGCGAAAGCAGGUCAUAGUGAUCCGGUGGUUCUGAAUGGAAGGGCCAUCGCUCAACGGAUAAAAGGUACUCCGGGGAUAACAGGCUGAUACCGCCCAAGAGUUCAUAUCGACGGCGGUGUUUGGCACCUCGAUGUCGGCUCAUCACAUCCUGGGGCUGAAGUAGGUCCCAAGGGUAUGGCUGUUCGCCAUUUAAAGUGGUACGCGAGCUGGGUUUAGAACGUCGUGAGACAGUUCGGUCCCUAUCUGCCGUGGGCGCUGGAGAAUUGAGGGGGGCUGCUCCUAGUACGAGAGGACCGGAGUGGACGCAUCACUGGUGUUCGGGUUGUCAUGCCAAUGGCACUGCCCGGUAGCUAAAUGCGGAAGAGAUAAGUGCUGAAAGCAUCUAAGCACGAAACUUGCCCCGAGAUGAGUUCUCCCUGAGACUUUAAGUCUCCUGAAGGAACGUUGAAGACGACGACGUUGAUAGGCCGGGUGUGUAAGCGCAGCGAUGCGUUGAGCUAACCGGUACUAAUGAACCGUGAGGCUUAACCUU